AGCUUGUUGGUGAGGUAAAAGCUCACCAAGGCGACGAUCUGUAGCGGGUCUGAGAGGAUGAUCCGCCACACUGGAACUGAGACACGGUCCAGACUCCUACGGGAGGCAGCAGUGGGGAAUUUUGGACAAUGGGGGCAACCCUGAUCCAGCCAUGCCGCGUGAGUGAAGAAGGCCUUCGGGUUGUAAAGCUCUUUCAGCCGGGAAGAAAACGCAUGGGUUAAUACCCUGUGUGGAUGACGGUACCGGAAUAAGAAGCACCGGCUAACUACGUGCCAGCAGCCGCGGUAAUACGUAGGGUGCGAGCGUUAAUCGGAAUUACUGGGCGUAAAGCGUGCGCAGGCGGUUUUGUAGGACAGGCGUGAAAUCCCCGGGCUUAACCUGGGAACUGCGUUUGUGACUGCAAGGCUAGAGUACGGCAGAGGGGGGUGGAAUUCCACGUGUAGCAAUGAAAUGCGUAGAGAUGUGGAGGAACACCAAUGGCGAAGGCAGCCCCCUGGGUCGAUACUGACGCUCAUGCACGAAAGCGUGGGUAGCAAACAGGAUUAGAUACCCUGGUAGUCCACGCCCUAAACGAUGUCAACUAGGUGUUGGGAGGGUAAAACCUUUUAGUACCGGAGCUAACGCGUGAAGUUGACCGCCUGGGGAGUACGGCCGCAAGGUUAAAACUCAAAGGAAUUGACGGGGACUCGCACAAGCGGUGGAUGAUGUGGAUUAAUUCGAUGCAACGCGAAAAACCUUACCUACCCUUGACAUGCCAAGAACUUUCCAGAGAUGGAUUGGUGCCCGAAAGGGAACUUGGACACAGGUGCUGCAUGGCUGUCGUCAGCUCGUGUCGAGAGAUGUUGGGUUAAGUCCCGCAACGAGCGCAACCCUUGUCGUUAAUUGCUAUCAUUUAGUUGGGCACUUUAACGAGACUGCCGGUGACAAACCGGAGGAAGGUGGGGAUGACGUCAAGUCCUCAUGGCCCUUAUGGGUAGGGCUUCACACGUCAUACAAUGGUCGGUACAAAGGGUCGCCAAGCCGCGAGGUGGAGCCAAUCCCAGAAAGCCGAUCGUAGUCCGGAUCGCAGUCUGCAACUCGACUGCGUGAAGUCGGAAUCGCUAGUAAUCGUGGAUCAGAAUGUCACGGUGAAUACGUUCCCGGGUCUUGUACACACCGCCCGUCACACCAUGGGAGCGGGUUCCGCCAGAAGUAGGUAGCCUAACCGCAAGGAGGGCGCUUACCACGGCGGGGUUCGUGACUGGGGUGAAGUCGUAACAAGGUAGCCGUA
Molecule: ribosomal RNA, 1270 nt
Filed under: metagenome
Description: bacterial SSU rRNA
Rfam family: Bacterial small subunit ribosomal RNA
Source: RNAcentral